UUGCUAGUUCGUGGAUAGAACAUAAUUAAAAAUUUUUAGCUCGUAAACCAAUCCGCAAAAUGGUGAAUUGGACAUGCAUUGAUUCAAAUCCGCAUCCGAUCCACAUAUAUAUAAAUUGGAUUUGGAUUGAAUUUCACCAAUCUGUGGAUUCGAUUAGAUUAAAAAUUUAUAAGUGCAAAAUCAUGGAUCGGAUAUGGAUUGAUGUCUCGCAAAAUCCGAUCCACGAACACCCCUAGAUUUUGUUAUAACUUGUGGAACAUUGUUAUCCUGAUGUUUAGAUAACUUACUUUUUAAUACAUAGUUAGGAUUUUUUUUAUGAUGCUGCAUGAAUUUUUACCCUGCUCAUAAUAAGAUCAUUAUGAACCUCUAAAUUUAUAUGUUUUUAUCUUCACCAUUGAUUUAAUUUAGUGCAUAAAUAACUAAUUACUUAAAAAUUAAUAGAUAAUAUUCAAGUUAAUGGACAAUAUUUUAUUUUUUAUAAUUUGACAAAUAUUUUCUAAAUCAUCAACAAAAUUAAAAAUUAAAUAUGCAAAUAGACAAAUUAACUUAUAUGUGUAAAUAACAAAUAUGGAUUAUUCAAUCUUCGACAACACAUGUUAAUAUGGGUCCUUUUGUUAUUUAUAAUUGGAACAAUAUAAUUUUGUCGAAAAAGAGAUAAUAAUAAGAGGAUAAACUAAGAUUGAGUUGUGUUAAUAUUAAAAUACAUAUUUUUUAAAAGAAAAUAUAGAAGUUUUAAUAGAAAAUAUACUUGUUUCUUUUUUAUUAUUUAAUCUUUAAAAAACACUAUUAAUUUUGUGAAUUGUUAAUUAAAUCUAACAAUGCAUAUUUAUAUCAAUAUUGAUGCUAUAAUUUUUAUAACAACAUCAUAGAGUGACCCACUUAAUUAAGGUUUAAUCAUCAAUCCUAGUUAGCCUUUGUAUAUGGGUUAAAAAGGGAUAAUGCUCGUUUAAUCUCUGUAGUUCAAGAUAAUUAUUUAGUUGGGUUUUGUAUUUUUGAAAAUUAUCUAAAACAACCAUGUGGUUACUUUUGUAAUUGUUCAAUCUAAUUUUUCAGGAUUAAAAUAUUAUUUUUUCUAAUUUAACUUAAGAUUAAAAAAAAUCCUAACAUGUAACAGAUGAAAAAUAGAUGAAUUUUAAUGUAGACAUAAAAGUACAACAUCGAACUUUUGGUAAUUUUUUCUAAUUUAACUUAAGAUUCAAACUGUUAAGAUUAAAAAAGCAUUCGCCCAUUCAAAAAAGACUUAAUGUUAAAUGAUGUUGUUGUUGUUGUUAUUAUUUUUUACGACAAGAAAAAAAAAAAUUCAUGAUUAAAAAGUAAUCUUUUUUUUUUCCUUCAAAAAAUAACAUUUAGUUCGACAACAACAGUAACUAAAAGACAAAUGCGUCUUGAAUGGUUUUAAAAAAUAUGAGGAUCAAGUAGAUAUCGAUGCCUAAACCUAAUUGAUUAUAGGAGAAUUAACAAUUCGGUCAAGUGAAGACAAUAGUAUUUGAAAAGAAGUAUAAGGAAUUUUAGAAACAGAGUGUUUUAAACGACACAUAAAAAAUUCACAUCAGAUUGCUUAGAGGACUGAUGUGGCUUUGCAACAAACUUCAACAAUGAAGAAAGCUGAUCUGCAAUGUUCUUUUAAUACAAGAAUAUCAAGUAAUUAGUUGGUUAGUUCAUAGUUUGGUCAGCAUAAUGGUUCAACUUGUCCUCGAUCGCCUUGCCAAUUAUGUCACCGUGGGAAAAUCUCAAAUGAUCAGUAAUGCUUAUCGUUCCCUUCCUUAUUCACAUUGCUUACUGGCGGGAAAAGGGCAGAGUUUCAUGGUCCCAUUCCCCACCCAGUUCAGCAGCAUAAGUAGAGUAGAUUGGAGGCGUGCAGGGACAUCAAAAGAAACUCAUCAAUAUAAUAGGUCAAUAAUUAUAUUAAUAAUAAUGAACAAAUUUUCGAGUAGAUGAUUAAUUUUCUUAAAAUUAUAUUGUUAGCUCAAUAACUAAUCUCCAUUGAUACAAGAUAUUUUCCAAUCAAUGUUAUUAUAUAGGAAAAUUAUCAUUCGUAUACCCUAUAGAUGAUUUGUUACACAAAAUACUACAAUACUUUGAGGGUGUAUCAAUCGUCCACCCUAAGUUGACAAAAUGUAUCUGCCGUCCACCAAACCGUUACUUGUCGUUUAAAUAGGAUAACGCCAGGGGGUAAUUUGGUCUUUUCAUAUUAUACAAGUGAUAAUUUAAGGGUAUACAAGUGAUACUUUUCAAGGGCAAAAUCGUCAAUUCGCUAUAAUCCCGUUGACUUUCAAACGGCAACUAACGAUUUGGUGGUCGGCAGAUAGCUUUUGUCAAUUUAAGGUGAAUAAUUGAUACACCCUUAAAAUAUUAUAAUAUUUUUUAUAAUAAAAUAUUUAUAAGGUAUACGAAUGAUAAUAUUCUUAUUAUAUAAACCAAGCCCUGUAAAUAUUUAAAUAAUAAUAAAAAGAAAGGAAAUAACAAGAUGUAAUAUUGGGCAAAUCAGGAGCAAUCAAAAUUACUGGUAGUGGGGUGCUUUAUUGACAAUAAGGAUUCUUUGGCCCAAAAUGUCGGCCGGUCAGAGAAUCAAGUUUACUUUGAAUCUCUGCUUAUUCAAAGGAUUCAAAGUCAACUAACCUUGUUUCGUUAUCUUCUCAGUCCCCAGUCCUCACUGUACUUAAUUGAUUCCUUUGAAGUUUGAACACCCAACAACUUUUCCAAAAAUGAUCCAAUGAAUUUCUUAAUUAAUUAAUUAAUAGAAGUUUCCAUAUCAUCCUCACUCACUUACGUUGACAACCAGAAAAACAUAAUCAUUAUGCAACAAAUUAAACCGUUGGCACCUCAAGGGUCUCCCCAAAAUCUCUCUAUCUAUAGUUAGAUAGAAAUCGAACCCUAGUUUAGAGAACUGAACCAUGCUCCAGAAUUUAUAAAAAAAAUAAAAAAUAAAAAUUAAGGACUUUUCUAAAUUGACUUGAAAAACUCAUUAAUUAAAGAAACAACCAGUUGCUUCUUUUACUUAAUAAGAAAUUGCCUAGUAACGUCAGUUGCAGGACGACGUAAACAAGAAAAAUAUAAGUUUGAUGAGAAAUUCGGUUCAAAGAUCAAACCACGUUUUUGUUUUGAUGACUGUGAAAAUGAUCGGUAAAACGAUAAUUAUGACAUUUAAUAAAACUUAGUAUGCUUGAACUCUUAUUUAUUAUAAUUAUUGUUAUUUUCUAAAAUCAAAUUUUGCUGGUCAAUAUAAUAAAAAACGUGUUUAGCUAAAUUGAUUAGUUGCUAACCCACCUGCUCAGAAAAUUAAGUACUAAUAUAUUUUUUUAAUAAUUAUGACUUACCGAUGGCUGUUUCCCUCAAAAAGCCUCCACAUGCAUGAUGUUUGCUUAUUUGUAUUCUUUAUUUUUAAUUAAAGUUUGAAAGAUAUAAUCUUUUAGAGCAUAGCUUAGGGUUGAACAUGAAAAUCAACAAAAAGCUUCUGCACUAAUUGAAACACACACAUAUAUUUAAACAAGCAACUUGUUAUUUAAAAUGAUAUUGUCUUAUAUUCUACAGGUGCUUUCGGAUUUUACAGAUUUGACAUCAAUUUAUAUCUAAUCCACGAUUUUAUGGAUUAUAAAUUUUCAAUCCAAUCCAAUCCAAUCUAUGGAUUGGUGAAAUUCAAUCAAAAUCCAAUUUAUAUGCCUGCGGAUCGGUUGUGGAUUUGACUCAAUCCACAUCCAAUCCAUCAUUUUAUAGAUUGGUUCGUAG
RNAcentral lists this long non-coding RNA (3726 nucleotides) under Citrus x clementina. Its description in RNAcentral is "Citrus clementina (C. clementina) long non-coding RNA (CCLE_LNC002042)". Lineage: Eukaryota; Viridiplantae; Streptophyta; Magnoliopsida; Sapindales; Rutaceae. The record is from RNAcentral.